This 343-nucleotide unclassified non-coding RNA is filed under the name soil metagenome. RNAcentral describes it as "partial contains 5.8S ribosomal RNA, internal transcribed spacer 2, and large subunit ribosomal RNA". The stretch from base 1 to 120 matches the Rfam family "5.8S ribosomal RNA", at positions 35 to 154 of the family's 154-position model. The record is from RNAcentral.
GAUGAAGAACGUAGCGAAAUGCGAUAAGUAAUGUGAAUUGCAGAAUUCAGUGAAUCAUCGAAUCUUUGAACGCACAUUGCGCCCGCCAGUAUUCUGGCGGGCAUGCCUGUUCGAGCGUCAUUUCAACCCUCAGGCCCCGCCUGGCGUUGGGGAUCGGCGCGGCCCUCUCCGGGCUGCCGGCCCCGAAAACUAGUGGCGGUAUCGCUGUAGUCCUCCUCUGCGCAGUAGCAACGCUCGCACUGGAACUCGGCGCGGCCACGCCGUAAAACACCCCACUUCUGAAAGUUGACCUCGGAUCAGGUAGGAAUACCCGCUGAACUUAAGCAUAUCAAUAAGCGGAGGA